GCAUUAAUGGGGUAGUGGUAACCUGGGUCGUUGCCAUUUCGUAUAUGUAGUGCAUCGACAUGUCGACCCGCCGGGGGUUCGAUUCCCUCUUAAUGCA
Non-coding RNA from Arthromyces matolae, 97 nucleotides. The record is from the annotation of a GenBank genome assembly. Lineage: Eukaryota; Fungi; Basidiomycota; Agaricomycetes; Agaricales; Lyophyllaceae.